CACGUAGGCACCAAGCGUUGUCCGGAUUUAUUGGGCGUAAAGAGCUCGUAGGCGGUUCAGUAAGUCGGGUGUGAAAACCCUGGGCUUAACCCAGAGCCGCCACCCGAUACUGCUGUGACUUGAGUCCGGUAGGGGAGUGGGGAAUUCCUAGUGUAGCGGUGAAAUGCGCAGAUAUUAGGAGGAACACCGGUGGCGAAGGCGCCACUCUGGGCCGGUACUGACGCUGAGGAGCGAAAGCGUGGGUAGCAAACAGG
This 254-nucleotide ribosomal RNA is filed under the name uncultured bacterium. Its description in RNAcentral is "partial 16S ribosomal RNA". It matches the Rfam family "Bacterial small subunit ribosomal RNA", at positions 524 to 776 of the family's 1533-position model. The record is from RNAcentral.